GUGAGGAAUAUUGGUCAAUGGGCGAGAGCCUGAACCAGCCAAGUCGCGUGAAGGAUGAAGGUUCUAUGGAUUGUAAACUUCUUUUGUCCGAGGGUAAAAAAGGCUACGUGUAGCUUCUUGCAAGUAUCGGACGAAUAAGCAUCGGCUAACUCCGUGCCAGCAGCCGCGGUAAUACGGAGGAUGCGAGCGUUAUCCGGAUUUAUUGGGUUUAAAGGGUGCGUAGGUGGUUUGUUAAGUUUGUGGUGAAAGCGUGCGGCUCAACCGUACCAAGCCAUGAAAACUGGCGAACUUGAGUGCAAACGAGGUAGGCGGAAUGUGAUGUGUAGCGGUGAAAUGCUUAGAUAUGUCACAGAACCCCGAUUGCGAAGGCAGCUUACCAGCAUGCAACUGACACUGAGGCACGAAAGCGUGGGUAUCAAACAGGAUUAGAAACCCUAGUAGUCC
Molecule: ribosomal RNA, 444 nt
Filed under: uncultured bacterium
Lineage: Bacteria
Description: bacterial SSU rRNA
Rfam family: Bacterial small subunit ribosomal RNA
Source: RNAcentral